GACGAACGCUGGCGGCGUGCUUAACACAUGCAAGUCGAACGGAAAGGCCCUGCUUUUGUGGUGUGCUCGAGUGGCGAACGGGUGAGUAACACGUGGGUAACCUGCCCUUGACUUUGGGAUAACUUCAGGAAACUGGGGCUAAUACCGGAUAGGAGCUCCUGCUGCAUGGUGGGGGUUGGAAAGUUUCGGCGGUUGGGGAUGGACGCGCGGCUUUUCAGCUUGUUGGUGGGGUAGUGGCUUACCAAGGCUUUGACGGGUAGCCGGCCUGAGAGGGUGACCGGCCACAUUGGGCCUGAGAUACGGACCAGAGUCCUACGGGAGGCAACAGUGGGGAAUAUUGCACAAUGGGCGGAAGCCUGAUGCAGCAACGCCGCGUGCGGGAUGACGGCCUUCGGGUUGUAAACCGCUUUCGCCUGUGACGAAGCGUGAGUGACGGUAAUGGGUAAAGAAGCACCGGCUAACUACGUG
RNAcentral lists this ribosomal RNA (468 nucleotides) under uncultured bacterium. RNAcentral's name for it is "partial 16S ribosomal RNA". It matches the Rfam family "Bacterial small subunit ribosomal RNA", at positions 28 to 507 of the family's 1533-position model. The record is from RNAcentral.